UACGGAGGGUGCAAGCGUUAUCCGGAUUCACUGGGUUUAAAGGGUGCGUAGGCGGCUAUGUAAGUCCGUGGUGAAAUCUCUGGGCUUAACCCGGAAACUGCCAUGGAUACUAUGUGUCUUGAAUGUUGUUGAGGUGAGCGGAAUAUGUCAUGUAGCGGUGAAAUGCUUAGAUAUGACAUAGAACACCAAUUGCGAAGGCAGCUCACUAAGCAAAUAUUGACGCUGAGGCACGAAAGCGUGGGGAGCAAACAGG
RNAcentral lists this ribosomal RNA (253 nucleotides) under uncultured bacterium. Its description in RNAcentral is "partial 16S ribosomal RNA". It matches the Rfam family "Bacterial small subunit ribosomal RNA", at positions 524 to 776 of the family's 1533-position model. The record is from RNAcentral.